RNAcentral lists this ribosomal RNA (497 nucleotides) under uncultured bacterium. RNAcentral's name for it is "partial 16S ribosomal RNA". It matches the Rfam family "Bacterial small subunit ribosomal RNA", at positions 28 to 507 of the family's 1533-position model. The record is from RNAcentral.
GAUGAACGCUGGCGGCGUGCCUAAUACAUGCAAGUCGAGCGAACAGACGAGGAGCUUGCUCCUCUGAUGUUAGCGGCGGACGGGUGAGUAACACGUGGAUAGCCUACCUAUAAGACUGGGAUAACUUCGGGAAACCGGAGCUAAUACCGGAUAACAUGUUGAACCGCAUGGUUCAACAGUGAAAGACGGUCUUGCUGUCACUUAUAGAUGGAUCCGCGCCGCAUUAGCUAGUUGGUAAGGUAACGGCUUACCAAGGCAACGAUGCGUAGCCGACCUGAGAGGGUGAUCGGCCACACUGGAACUGAGACACGGUCCAGACUCCUACGGGAGGCAGCAGUAGGGAAUCUUCCGCAAUGGGCGAAAGCCUGACGGAGCAACGCCGCGUGAGUGAAGAAGGUCUUCGGAUCGUAAAACUCUGUUAUUAGGGAAGAACAAAUGUGUAAGUAACUAUGCACGUCUUGACGGUACCUAAUCAGAAAGCCACGGCUAACUACGUG